GGGGAGCAAACCAGGAUUAGAUACCCUGGUAGUCCACGCCGUAAACCGAUGAGUGCCUAGCUGUAGGGAGCUAUAAGUUCUCUGUAGCGCAGCUAACGCAUUAAGCCACUCCGCCCUGGGGAGUACGACCGCAAGGUUGAAACUCAAAGGAAUUGACGGGGGCCCGCACAAGCGGUGGAGCAUGUGGUUUAAUUCGAAGCAACGCGAAGAACCUUACCAGGUCUUGACAUACUCGUGCUAUCCUUAGAGAUAAGGAGUUCCUUCGGGACACGGGAUACAGGUGGUGCAUGGUUGUCGUCAGCUCGUGUCGUGAGAUGUUGGGUUAAGUCCCGCAACGAGCGCAACCCUUAUUACUAGUUGCCAUCAUUAAGUUGGGCACUCUAGUGAGACUGCCGGUGAUAAACCGGAGGAAGGUGGGGAUGACGUCAAAUCUUCAUGCCCCUUAUGACCUGGGCUACACACGUGCUACAAUGGAUGGUACAACGAGUCGCCAACCCGCGAGGGUGCGCUAAUCUCUUAAAACCAAUCUCAGUUCGGAUUGCAGGCUGCAACUCGCCUGCAUGAAGUCGGAAUCGCUAGUAAUCGCGGAUCAGCACGCCGCGGUGAAUACGUUCCCAGGCCUUGUACACACCGCCCGUCACACCAUGGGAGUUGGUUC
Molecule: ribosomal RNA, 658 nt
Filed under: uncultured Enterococcus sp.
Lineage: Bacteria; Bacillati; Bacillota; Bacilli; Lactobacillales; Enterococcaceae
Description: bacterial SSU rRNA
Rfam family: Bacterial small subunit ribosomal RNA
Source: RNAcentral